GUGACACCAAAGUGACCCCAACGUGACACCAAAGUGACCCGAAUGUGACACCAAAGUGACCCCAACAUGACACCAACGUGACCCAAAAGUGACACCAAAGUGACCCCAACGUGACCCCAAAGUGACCCCAACGUGACCCCAAAGUGACCCCAAAGUGACCCCAAAGCGACCCCAGAGCGACACCGUCGUGACCCCAAUGUGAUCCCGCAUUGCCCACCAGCGCCCCCUGGCGGCCGCACCUGAGUAUGGCAGCCCACAGCUCCAUGGCGUCAUCGCGGUAGUGAUACCCGGGGACGUCGGUGACGCCGCGCGCGAUGACGUCAUCGGGCACGCAGAGCUCGGCGUACGUCAGCGCCGCCGUCGCCCGCGCCACCAGCUCCAGGGUCCCCGCCCGCCCGAUGGACGUGGCCUGCAGCGUGCCACCACGUGUCCCCGUGUCCCCGUGUCCCCACGUCCACGUGUCCCCAUGUCCCCGUGUCCCCGUGUCCCCAUGUCCCCGUGUCCCCAUGUCCCCGUGUCCCCGUGUCCCCACGUCCCCGUGUCCCCACGUCCCCGUGUCCCCGUGUCCCCAUGUCCCCAUGUCUCUGUGUCCCCGUGUCCCCACGUCCCCGUGUCCCCCUGUCCCCGUGUCCCCAUGUCCCCAUGUCCCCGUGUCCCCGUGUCCCCAGGUCCCCGUGUCCCCGUGUCCCCGUGUCCCCACGUCCCCGUGUCCCCACGUCCCUGUGUCCCCGUGUCCCCGUGUCCCCGUGUCCCCAUGUCCCCAUGUCCCCGUGUCCCCGUGUCCCCAUGUCCCCACGUCCCUGUGUCCCCGUGUCCCCACGUCCCUGUGUCCCCGUGUCCCCAUGUCCCCGUGUCCCCAUGUCCCCAUCCCAAUGAUGUCCCUGUGUCCCCAUAUCCCCGUGUCCCCGUGUCCCCACGUCCAUGUGUCCUCAUGUCCCCGUGUCCCUGUGUCCCCAUGUCCCCGUGUCCCCGUGUCCCCGUGUCCCCACGUCCAUGUGUCCUCGUGUCCCCGUGUCCCCAUGACCCCACGUCCCCGUGUCCCCCUGUCCCCAUGUCCCCAUGUCCCCAUGUCUCUGUGUCCCCGUGUCCCCGUGUCCCCAGGUCCCCGUGUCCCCAUGUCCCCGUGUCCCCAUGUCCCCAUGUCC
RNAcentral lists this long non-coding RNA (1145 nucleotides) under Numida meleagris (helmeted guineafowl). RNAcentral describes it as "lncRNA (ENSNMEG00000004265.1)". The record is from RNAcentral. Lineage: Eukaryota; Metazoa; Chordata; Aves; Galliformes; Numididae.